ACCCGCUGAACUUAAGCAUAUCAAUAAGCGCAGGAAAAGAAACCAACAGGGAUUACCUCAGUAACGGCGAGUGAAGCGGUAAUAGCUCAAAUUUGAAAUCUGGCCUCUUGGGGUCCGAGUUGUAAUUUGUAGAGGAUGUUUUGGGUACCGCCCCGGUCUAAAUUUCUUGGAACAGAAUGUCAAAGAGGGUGAGAAUCCCGUCUUGGACCGGCGGUAGGGCCUGUGUAAAACUCCUUCGACGAGUCGAGUUGUUUGGGAAUGCAGCUCAAAAUGGGUGGUAAAUUUCAUCUAAAGCUAAAUAUUGGCCAGAGACCGAUAGCGCACAAGUAGAGUGAUCGAAAGAUGAAAAGCACUUUGAAAAGAGAGUUAAACAGUAUGUGAAAUUGUUGAAAGGGAAGCGCUUGCAACCAGACUUGAGCGCGGCGGUUCCCCCGGUCUUUUGGCCGGGCUACUCCGUCGUGUCCAGGCCAACAUCGGUUCUGAGGGUCGGUCAAAGGCCUUGGGAAUGUAUCUACCCACGGGUAGACUUAUAGACCAGGGUGUCAUGCGGCCUCUCGGGACCGAGGAACGCGCUUCGGCUCGGAUGUUGGCGUAAUGGUUGUCAGCGACCCGUCUUGAAACACGG
This 625-nucleotide ribosomal RNA is filed under the name uncultured fungus. RNAcentral describes it as "eukaryotic LSU rRNA". It matches the Rfam family "Eukaryotic large subunit ribosomal RNA", at positions 23 to 664 of the family's 3401-position model. Lineage: Eukaryota; Fungi. The record is from RNAcentral.